GGGUUGUGAGGUUAAGCGACUAAGCGUACACGGUGGAUGCCCUGGCAGUCAGAGGCGAUGAAGGACGUGCUAAUCUGCGAUAAGCGCCGGUAAGGUGAUAUGAACCGUUAUAACCGGCGAUUUCCGAAUGGGGAAACCCAGUGUGAUUCGUCACACUAUCAUUAACUGAAUCCAUAGGUUAAUGAGGCGAACCGGGGGAACUGAAACAUCUAAGUACCCCGAGGAAAAGAAAUCAACCGAGAUUCCCCCAGUAGCGGCGAGCGAACGGGGAGGAGCCCAGAGCCUGAAUCAGCAUGUGUGUUAGUGGAAGCGUCUGGAAAGGCGCGCGAUACAGGGUGACAGCCCCGUACACAAAAGCGCAUGUGCUGUGAGCUCGAUGAGUAGGGCGGGACACGUGGUAUCCUGUCUGAAUAUGGGGGGACCAUCCUCCAAGGCUAAAUACUCCUGACUGACCGAUAGUGAACCAGUACCGUGAGGGAAAGGCGAAAAGAACCCCGGCGAGGGGAGUGAAAAAGAUCCUGAAACCGUGUACGUACAAGCAGUGGGAGCACCCUUCGGGGUGUGACUGCGUACCUUUUGUAUAAUGGGUCAGCGACUUAUAUUCUGUAGCAAGGUUAACCGUAUAGGGGAGCCGGAGGGAAACCGAGUCUUAACCGGGCGUUAAGUUGCAGGGUAUAGACCCGAAACCCGGUGAUCUAGCCAUGGGCAGGUUGAAGGUUGGGUAACACUAACUGGAGGACCGAACCGACUAAUGUUGAAAAAUUAGCGGAUGACCUGUGGCUGGGGGUGAAAGGCCAAUCAAACCGGGAGAUAGCUGGUUCUCCCCGAAAGCUAUUUAGGUAGCGCCUCGUGAAUUCAUCUCCGGGGGUAGAGCACUGUUUCGGCUAGGGGGCCAUCCCGGCUUACCAACCCGAUGCAAACUGCGAAUACCGGAGAAUGUUAUCACGGGAGACACACGGCGGGUGCUAACGUCCGUCGUGAAGAGGGAAACAACCCAGACCGCCAGCUAAGGUCCCAAAGUCAUGGUUAAGUGGGAAACGAUGUGGGAAGGCCCAGACAGCCAGGAUGUUGGCUUAGAAGCAGCCAUCAUUUAAAGAAAGCGUAAUAGCUCACUGGUCGAGUCGGCCUGCGCGGAAGAUGUAACGGGGCUAAACCAUGCACCGAAGCUGCGGCAGCGAACGUAUCACCCAAGACAACUUUACGGAGUUGACGAUUGACGGAGCGAAGCGACGUCAAAGCGUUCAUUAAAGUCGAGUUGGCUUAGGGAUACGUUCGUUGGGUAGGGGAGCGUUCUGUAAGCCUGUGAAGGUGUGUCGUGAGGCAUGCUGGAGGUAUCAGAAGUGCGAAUGCUGACAUAAGUAACGAUAAAGCGGGUGAAAAGCCCGCUCGCCGGAAGACCAAGGGUUCCUGUCCAACGUUAAUCGGGGCAGGGUGAGUCGACCCCUAAGGCGAGGCCGAAAGGCGUAGUCGAUGGGAAACGGGUUAAUAUUCCCGUACUUGGUGUUACUGCGAAGGGGGGACGGAGAAGGCUAUGUUGGCCGGGCGACGGUUGUCCCGGUUUAAGCGUGUAGGUGUGUGUUCCAGGUAAAUCCGGUUCACUUUAACACUGAGGCGUGACGACGAGGCACUACGGUGCUGAAGCAACAAAUGCCCUGCUUCCAGGAAAAGCCUCUAAGCAUCAGGUAACACGAAAUCGUACCCCAAACCGACACAGGUGGUCAGGUAGAGAAUACCAAGGCGCUUGAGAGAACUCGGGUGAAGGAACUAGGCAAAAUGGUGCCGU
This 1783-nucleotide ribosomal RNA is filed under the name Salmonella enterica subsp. enterica. RNAcentral describes it as "partial 23S ribosomal RNA". It matches the Rfam family "Bacterial large subunit ribosomal RNA", at positions 1 to 1731 of the family's 2925-position model. The record is from RNAcentral. Lineage: Bacteria; Pseudomonadati; Pseudomonadota; Gammaproteobacteria; Enterobacterales; Enterobacteriaceae.